RNAcentral lists this long non-coding RNA (239 nucleotides) under Lathyrus oleraceus (garden pea). RNAcentral describes it as "Pisum sativum (pea) long non-coding RNA (PSAT_LNC035557)". The record is from RNAcentral. Lineage: Eukaryota; Viridiplantae; Streptophyta; Magnoliopsida; Fabales; Fabaceae.
UUUGUGGAGAUAUGUGUCCACAAAUGAAAAAGAGAUCAGGAGAAACUGAAAAUCCACAUGAGCAAUACACUCAUAAAUGGGACAGAGACUCUGGGAACCCACUAGGGAGUAAAAGGGAAAUGAGAAUGCGUGAGAAGGUCACGACUUAAAACUUGCUGGGGCACGAAUGGAUUUCCAUGAAAAUAAAUCGAUGGAAAUACUCGAGCUGACUCAACAAUGCAUGUAUUGGGGAAUAUGCC